GCCACUGAGGGCUCCAGGACUCCUCCUUUACCCCAUCUGCUCGAAUCAUAGAGAACCUGCUCCGUGCCCUUCCUGCUAACUGAGGAGAUGAGUUUUGGAAUACUUAAUGGAGAGGACUGGCUUAAACUCUGACCUGGUACUUCCUACCUGUGGGACUUUGGGCAACAAACUCAGUCUUUCUAAACCACACUUUCUACCUUAAAUUCAAGAUACUGAAUGGCAUCAUAUAUGGCCACACAGGUUCUGCAUGGCACAACUUCAAGAAGCAUCACUGUGACUGAGCAACAAGGCAACUUACCUGUAACAACUAAUCUGUAAGCCAACACCAGCUGCCAACCACAUGAGCCAGCCACUUCGGACAUCCCACCUGGCUGGGCCUUCAGAUGACUGCAACUCCAGACAGCAUCAUAUGUUACAGAAGAUCCCCAUAGAACUAAUCUGGAUGGCUUCUGUGAUUAUUUUGACCAGUGCAGAAGUGAGCUGUGCCAAUUCCUGAGACCAGGCUCUAAGAGACUGGCAGCUUCCAUUUCCUGUUUCUUGGGACUCUUUCUGGAAGGCUCUGGGAACCAUCAGCUGCCACAUAAGAAGUCUGAUUAUCCUAACACAGCCAUAUGUGCACAGGGUACCUGCUAGGUCUCUGCUAUUCCAAUCACUCCAGCCAAGGCAUCAGUACCAAUGAUGAAGGAAUCAUCUUGGAACUUCUAGCCCCGACACGAAGAAAAACAAAGACCACAGACAUAUAACCCCAGUAUUGCUAUCCCAACAACCCACAGCUAUUCAAGCAACCCCAGCUGGGGCUAUAAACAUCAUGUAUCAAAGACUGCUGUCCCUACUGUAACUUCUCAAAGCUCUGACCCACACAAUCCUGAGCAUCACAGAUGUGGUCAUUAUCUUGAUUUUGGUGAUGGUUCACAGGUAUAUAUUUUUGUGUGCUUAUGAAAUU
Molecule: long non-coding RNA, 943 nt
Organism: Talpa occidentalis (Iberian mole)
Lineage: Eukaryota; Metazoa; Chordata; Mammalia; Eulipotyphla; Talpidae
Exons: 4
Source: RefSeq, a predicted model, not a curated record